CACCAAAGCAACGAUCAGUAGCCGGUCUGAGAGGAUGAACGGCCACAAUGGGACUGAGACACGGCCCAUACUCCUACGGGAGGCAGCAGUGGGGAAUCUUCCGCAAUGGGCGAAAGCCUGACGGAGCGACGCCGCGUGAGUGAAGAAGGUCUUCGGACCGUAAAGCUCUUUUGUUGCAGGCGAAGGGUAAGAGCAGGAAAUGGCUCUUAUUAGACGGUUUGCAAGGAAUAAGCCACGGCUAACUACGCGCCAGCAGCCGCGGUAAUACGUAGGUGGCGAGCGUUGUCCGGAAUUAUUGGGCGUAAAGGGAGCGCAGGCGGAAGGACAAGCCAGAUUUGAAAGUUCGGGGCUCAGCCCCGUGACGGAUCUGGAACUGUUCUCCUUGAGAGCGGGAGAAGGAAGCGGAAUUCCUGGUGUAGCGGUGAAAUGCGUAGAUAUCAGGAAGAACACCAGUGGCGAAAGCGGCUUUCCGGACCGAAUCUGACGCUGAGGCUCGAAAGCCAGGGGAGCGAACGGGAUUAGAUACCCCGGUAGUCCUGGCCGUAAACGAUGGAUGCUAGGUGUGGGGGGGUAUCGACCAAU
RNAcentral lists this ribosomal RNA (582 nucleotides) under uncultured bacterium. RNAcentral describes it as "bacterial SSU rRNA". It matches the Rfam family "Bacterial small subunit ribosomal RNA", at positions 266 to 840 of the family's 1533-position model. The record is from RNAcentral. RNAcentral also lists the same sequence under 1 other name.